CCGUACACAAAAAUGCACAUACUGUGAGCUCGAUGAGUAGGGCGGGACACGUGGUAUCCUGUCUGAAUAUGGGGGGACCAUCCUCCAAGGCUAAAUACUCCUGACUGACCGAUAGUGAACCAGUACCGUGAGGGAAAGGCGAAAAGAACCCCGGCGAGGGGAGUGAAAAAGAACCUGAAACCGUGUACGUACAAGCAGUGGGAGCACGCUUAGGCGUGUGACUGCGUACCUUUUGUAUAAUGGGUCAGCGACUUAUAUUCUGUAGCAAGGUUAACCGAAUAGGGGAGCCGAAGGGAAACCGAGUCUUAACUGGGCGUUAAGUUGCAGGGUAUAGACCCGAAACCCGGUGAUCUAGCCAUGGGCAGGUUGAAGGUUGGGUAACACUAACUGGAGGACCGAACCGACUAAUGUUGAAAAAUUAGCGGAUGACUUGUGGCUGGGGGUGAAAGGCCAAUCAAACCGGGAGAUAGCUGGUUCUCCCCGAAAGCUAUUUAGGUAGCGCCUCGUGAAUUCAUCUCCGGGGGUAGAGCACUGUUUCGGCAAGGGGGUCAUCCCGACUUACCAACCCGAUGCAAACUGCGAAUACCGGAGAAUGUUAUCACGGGAGACACACGGCGGGUGCUAACGUCCGUCGUGAAGAGGGAAACAACCCAGACCGCCAGCUAAGGUCCCAAAGUCAUGGUUAAGUGGGAAACGAUGUGGGAAGGCCCAGACAGCCAGGAUGUUGGCUUAGAAGCAGCCAUCAUUUAAAGAAAGCGUAAUAGCUCACUGGUCGAGUCGGCCUGCGCGGAAGAUGUAACGGGGCUAAACCAUGCACCGAAGCUGCGGCAGCGACGCUGAUGCGUUGUUGGGUAGGGGAGCGUUCUGUAAGCCUGUGAAGGUGUGCUGUGAGGCAUGCUGGAGGUAUCAGAAGUGCGAAUGCUGACAUAAGUAACGAUAAAGCGGGUGAAAAGCCCGCUCGCCGGAAGACCAAGGGUUCCUGUCCAACGUUAAUCGGGGCAGGGUGAGUCGACCCCUAAGGCGAGGCCGAAAGGCGUAGUCGAUGGGAAACAGGUUAAUAUUCCUGUACUUGGUGUUACUGCGAAGGGGGGACGGAGAAGGCUAUGUUGGCCGGGCGACGGUUGUCCCGGUUUAAGCGUGUAGGCUGGUUUUCCAGGCAAAUCCGGAAAAUCAAGGCUGAGGCGUGAUGACGAGGCACUACGGUGCUGAAGCAACAAAUGCCCUGCUUCCAGGAAAAGCCUCUAAGCAUCAGGUAACAUCAAAUCGUACCCCAAACCGACACAGGUGGUCAGGUAGAGAAUACCAAGGCGCUUGAGAGAACUCGGGUGAAGGAACUAGGCAAAAUGGUGCCGUAACUUCGGGAGAAGGCACGCUGAUAUGUAGGUGAAGCGACUUGCUCGUGGAGCUGAAAUCAGUCGAAGAUACCAGCUGGCUGCAACUGUUUAUUAAAAACACAGCACUGUGCAAACACGAAAGUGGACGUAUACGGUGUGACGCCUGCCCGGUGCCGGAAGGUUAAUUGAUGGGGUCAGCGCAAGCGAAGCUCUUGAUCGAAGCCCCGGUAAACGGCGGCCGUAACUAUAACGGUCCUAAGGUAGCGAAAUUCCUUGUCGGGUAAGUUCCGACCUGCACGAAUGGCGUAAUGAUGGCCAGGCUGUCUCCACCCGAGACUCAGUGAAAUUGAAC
This 1686-nucleotide ribosomal RNA is filed under the name Escherichia coli. Its description in RNAcentral is "partial 23S ribosomal RNA". It matches the Rfam family "Bacterial large subunit ribosomal RNA", at positions 373 to 2047 of the family's 2925-position model. Lineage: Bacteria; Pseudomonadati; Pseudomonadota; Gammaproteobacteria; Enterobacterales; Enterobacteriaceae. The record is from RNAcentral.